CAGCAGCCGCGGUAAUACGUAGGUGGCGAGCGUUGUCCGGAAUCAUUGGGCGUAAAGCGAGCGCAGGCGGUUAGAUAAGUCUGAAGUUAAAGGCUGUGGCUUAACCAUAGUACGCUUUGGAAACUGUUUAACUUGAGUGCAAGAGGGGAGAGUGGGAUUCCAUGUGUAGCGGUGAAAUGCGUAGAUAUUGGGAGGAACACCGGCGGCGAAGGCGGCUUACUGGACGACAACUGACGUUGAGGCUCGAAGGCGUGGGUAGCAAACAGGAUUAGAUACCCCAGUAGUCCCUGUCUCUUAUACA
This 301-nucleotide ribosomal RNA is filed under the name uncultured bacterium. RNAcentral's name for it is "partial 16S ribosomal RNA". It matches the Rfam family "Bacterial small subunit ribosomal RNA", at positions 509 to 808 of the family's 1533-position model. The record is from RNAcentral.